This is a non-coding RNA of Podarcis lilfordi (Lilford's wall lizard), 72 nucleotides long. NCBI's taxonomy places the organism in Eukaryota, Metazoa, Chordata, Lepidosauria, Squamata, Lacertidae. The record is from the annotation of a GenBank genome assembly.
GGCAUAGCUCAGUGGUAGAGCAUCUACUUUGGAUGCAAAAGGUCCCAGAUUCAAUCCCCAAUGGUAUCUCUA